AUUGCCCGCUUUCUUUAGGCCUAACACAUGCAAGUCGAACGGCAGCACAGUAAGAGCUUGCUCUUACGGGUGGCGAGUGGCGGACGGGUGAGGAAUACAUCGGAAUCUACUUUUUCGUGGGGGAUAACGUAGGGAAACUUACGCUAAUACCGCAUACGACCUACGGGUGAAAGCAGGGGAUCUUCGGACCUUGCGCGAUUGAAUGAGCCGAUGUCGGAUUAGCUAGUUGGCGGGGUAAAGGCCCACCAAGGCGACGAUCCGUAGCUGGUCUGAGAGGAUGAUCAGCCACACUGGAACUGAGACACGGUCCAGACUCCUACGGGAGGCAGCAGUGGGGAAUAUUGGACAAUGGGCGCAAGCCUGAUCCAGCCAUACCGCGUGGGUGAAGAAGGCCUUCGGGUUGUAAAGCCCUUUUGUUGGGAAAGAAAAGCAGCAGGUUAAUACCCCGCUGUUCUGACGGUACCCAAAGAAUAAGCACCGGCUAACUUCGUG
This 492-nucleotide ribosomal RNA is filed under the name uncultured bacterium. Its description in RNAcentral is "partial 16S ribosomal RNA". It matches the Rfam family "Bacterial small subunit ribosomal RNA", at positions 34 to 507 of the family's 1533-position model. The record is from RNAcentral.